UCCAUCUUCUAUGAUACCUACAUCAUCAGCAUUCUCUCUCUUUCUUGAUGGAAGAUCAUUAGUUUCAUUAAAAACUACAUGAAUUGACUCUUCCACUACUAGUAUUCUUUUAUUAAAUAUUCUAAAGACUUUACUAGAAGUGGAAUAGCCAAGAAAGAUAGUUUCAUCAGAUUUAACAUCAAAUUUAUCUAAGUUAUCUUUGCCAUUAUUUAACACA
Molecule: long non-coding RNA, 217 nt
Filed under: Elaeis guineensis (African oil palm)
Lineage: Eukaryota; Viridiplantae; Streptophyta; Magnoliopsida; Arecales; Arecaceae
Description: long non-coding RNA (EGUI_LNC003846)
Source: RNAcentral